Molecule: ribosomal RNA, 629 nt
Filed under: uncultured bacterium
Lineage: Bacteria
Description: bacterial SSU rRNA
Rfam family: Bacterial small subunit ribosomal RNA
Source: RNAcentral
UCGAGGGGCAUCGGGAUUGAAGCUUGCUUCAAUUGCCGGCGACCGGCGCACGGGUGCGUAACGCGUAUGUAACCUACCUAUAACAGGGGCAUAACACUGAGAAAUUGGUACUAAUUCCCCAUAAUAUUCGGAGAGGCAUCUCUCCGGGUUGAAAACUCCGGUGGUUAUAGAUGGACAUGCGUUGUAUUAGCUAGUUGGUGAGGUAACGGCUCACCAAGGCAACGAUACAUAGGGGGACUGAGAGGUUAACCCCCCACACUGGUACUGAGACACGGACCAGACUCCUACGGGAGGCAGCAGUGAGGAAUAUUGGUCAAUGGACGCAAGUCUGAACCAGCCAUGCCGCGUGCAGGAAGACGGCUCUAUGAGUUGUAAACUGCUUUUGUACGAGGGUAAACUCACCUACGUGUAGGUGACUGAAAGUAUCGUACGAAUAAGGAUCGGCUAACUCCGUGCCAGCAGCCGCGGUAAUACGGAGGAUUCAAGCGUUAUCCGGAUUUAUUGGGUUUAAAGGGUGCGUAGGCGGUUUGAUAAGUUAGAGGUGAAAUCCCGGGGCUUAACUCCGGAACUGCCUCUAAUACUGUUAGACUAGAGAGUAGUUGCGGUAGGCGGAAUGUAUGGUGUAGCGG